UUAGCUCAGUUGGUAGAGCAGUUGACUUUUAAUCAAUUGGUCGCAGGUUCGAAUCCUGGA
This 60-nucleotide transfer RNA is filed under the name Klebsiella pneumoniae. RNAcentral describes it as "tRNA-Lys". It matches the Rfam family "tRNA", at positions 7 to 64 of the family's 71-position model. Rfam says of the family: Transfer RNA (tRNA) molecules are approximately 80 nucleotides in length. Lineage: Bacteria; Pseudomonadati; Pseudomonadota; Gammaproteobacteria; Enterobacterales; Enterobacteriaceae. The record is from RNAcentral.